AUCAAGCUGCUGGGAGAUACAAUUACGAAGCUCAGGAGGGAUAGCGCCCAGCCCUGCUUUUACUGUUCAAUCAGUUAGAGUGCUUCUGAUAGUAAGAUGCAGAUGCAUGACGCUAUCCAUUCUGAGCUUUGCAACUGUGUCCCCCUAAUUUGGGCAACCGGAUCGGUUAGCUGGU
This 175-nucleotide microRNA precursor is filed under the name Physcomitrium patens. RNAcentral's name for it is "Physcomitrella patens miR390b stem-loop (ppt-MIR390b)". Its record names the gene ppt-MIR390b. Lineage: Eukaryota; Viridiplantae; Streptophyta; Bryopsida; Funariales; Funariaceae. The record is from miRBase by way of RNAcentral.